AGCAUUUUACGAGGUGCUGCAUGGUUGUCGUCAGCUCGUGCCGUGAGGUGCGGGUUAAGUCCCAUAACGAGCGCAACCCUACCUUUAGUUGCCAUCAGGUAAUGCUGGGGACUCUAAAGGAACUGCCUACGCAAGUAGUGAGGAAGGCGGGGAUGACGUCAAAUCAGCACGGCCCUUACGUCCAGGGCUACACACGUGCUACAAUGGCCGAUACAGAGGGCAGCUACCUGGUGACAGGAUGCAAAUCUCCAAAGUCGGUCUCAGUUCGGAUCGGAGUCUGCAACCCGACUCCGUGAAGUUGGAUUCGCUAGUAAUCGCGCAUCAGCCAUGGCGCGGUGAAUACGUUCCCGGGCCUU
RNAcentral lists this ribosomal RNA (356 nucleotides) under uncultured Sphingobacteriales bacterium. RNAcentral's name for it is "bacterial SSU rRNA". It matches the Rfam family "Bacterial small subunit ribosomal RNA", at positions 1025 to 1382 of the family's 1533-position model. The record is from RNAcentral. Lineage: Bacteria; Pseudomonadati; Bacteroidota; Sphingobacteriia; Sphingobacteriales.